AUUGAACGCUGGCGGCAUGCCUUACACAUGCAAGUCGAACGGUAACAGGGAGCUUGCUCCGCUGACGAGUGGCGAACGGGUGAGUAAUGUAUCGGAACGUACCAUUCAGUGGGGGAUAACGUAGCGAAAGUUACGCUAAUACCGCAUAUUCUGUGAGCAGGAAAGCAGGGGAUCGCAAGACCUUGCGCUGAUUGAGCGGCCGAUAUCAGAUUAGCUAGUUGGUGAGGUAAAGGCUCACCAAGGCGACGAUCUGUAGCGGGUCUGAGAGGAUGAUCCGCCACACUGGAACUGAGACACGGUCCAGACUCCUACGGGAGGCAGCAGUGGGGAAUUUUGGACAAUGGGGGCAACCCUGAUCCAGCCAUGCCGCGUGAGUGAAGAAGGCCUCGGUUGUAAGCUCUUUCGGUCCGGGAAAAUACGCAUCAGUUAAUACCUGGUGUGGAUGAUGGUACCGGAAUAAGAAGCACCGGCUAACUACGUG
This 481-nucleotide ribosomal RNA is filed under the name uncultured bacterium. RNAcentral's name for it is "bacterial SSU rRNA". It matches the Rfam family "Bacterial small subunit ribosomal RNA", at positions 30 to 507 of the family's 1533-position model. The record is from RNAcentral.